AGUGUCACUUUCUGUGGAGAGGCACAACUGCAGUGGUUUGCCUUGUUCAAAUUUGAUACCUGGACGAUAUCCAGUGAUUAGCUGCUUCAAUUGGCUUUAUUUAAUUGAAUCGGCAUUGUUGCGAUGAUUUGCCCUGUUCAAAUAAACACUGGGACGACACUCAGUGAUCAGUCACUUAAUGGGCUUGAUGUAAUCUAAUUGAUACCCCAUAUGGUGAAAUUUGGUCCGAUACUAUUUUAAGCAUUGUUAAAUUGCCUUUUUGAAGACACGAUAAGAUGUAUGUCCAUAUUGUGAUUCUUUGAUUAAUACACCCCUGAUGAAGUCUGUAGGAUGAAACGCGUUGGAUUAGCACAUUGUUCUCUGACAUCUCUACAAAGAAGAUCAUUUUGAUGUUGUUUGAAUUACCAAGACAACUAUUGUCUGUACAAACAUUGUUUAUUGUUAUUCUGGGUAAAUUGUAAACAGUUUUAUGUAUUGCUUUUUACAAAAAUAAACAAUCUCUCUUU
Long non-coding RNA from Pseudophryne corroboree (corroboree frog), 506 nucleotides. RefSeq lists it as uncharacterized. The transcript has 2 exons. The record is from RefSeq and is a predicted model, not a curated record. Lineage: Eukaryota; Metazoa; Chordata; Amphibia; Anura; Myobatrachidae.